This 403-nucleotide ribosomal RNA is filed under the name uncultured bacterium. Its description in RNAcentral is "bacterial SSU rRNA". It matches the Rfam family "Bacterial small subunit ribosomal RNA", at positions 355 to 775 of the family's 1533-position model. The record is from RNAcentral.
UGGGGAAUAUUGGACAAUGGGCGCAAGCCUGAUCCAGCAAUGCCGCGUGAGUGAUGAAGGCCUUAGGGUUGUAAAGCUCUUUCGCCCGCGACGAUGAUGACGGUAGCGGGAGAAGAAGCCCCGGCUAACUUCGUGCCAGCAGCCGCGGUAAUACGAAGGGGGCGAGCGUUGUUCGGAUUUACUGGGCGUAAAGGGCGCGUAGGCGGCGCAAGAAGUCAGGCGUGAAAGCCCCGGGCUCAACCUGGGAAUUGCGCUUGGGACUCUUGGGCUCGAGUUCGGGAGAGGAGCGUGGAAUUCCCAGUGUAGAGGUGAAAUUCGUAGAUAUUGGGAAGAACACCGGUGGCGAAGGCGGCGCUCUGGACCGAGACUGACGCUGAGGCGCGAAAGCGUGGGGAGCAAACAG